RNAcentral lists this ribosomal RNA (600 nucleotides) under Enterococcus gallinarum. RNAcentral describes it as "bacterial SSU rRNA". It matches the Rfam family "Bacterial small subunit ribosomal RNA", at positions 38 to 614 of the family's 1533-position model. The record is from RNAcentral. Lineage: Bacteria; Bacillati; Bacillota; Bacilli; Lactobacillales; Enterococcaceae.
UGCGGCUGCCUAUAAUGCAGUCGAACGCUUUCUCUUUCACCGGAGCUUGCUCCACCGAAAGAAAAAGAGUGGCGAACGGGUGAGUAACACGUGGGUAACCUGCCCAUCAGAAGGGGAUAACACUUGGAAACAGGUGCUAAUACCGUAUAACACUAUUUUCCGCAUGGAAGAAAGUUGAAAGGCGCUUUUGCGUCACUGAUGGAUGGACCCGCGGUGCAUUAGCUAGUUGGUGAGGUAACGGCUCACCAAGGCCACGAUGCAUAGCCGACCUGAGAGGGUGAUCGGCCACACUGGGACUGAGACACGGCCCAGACUCCUACGGGAGGCAGCAGUAGGGAAUCUUCGGCAAUGGACGAAAGUCUGACCGAGCAACGCCGCGUGAGUGAAGAAGGUUUUCGGAUCGUAAAACUCUGUUGUUAGAGAAGAACAAGGAUGAGAGUAGAACGUUCAUCCCUUGACGGUAUCUAACCAGAAAGCCACGGCUAACUACGUGCCAGCAGCCGCGGUAAUACGUAGGUGGCAAGCGUUGUCCGGAUUUAUUGGGCGUAAAGCGAGCGCAGGCGGUUUCUUAAGUCUGAUGUGAAAGCCCCCGGCUCAACC